CCUACGGGGCGCUGCAGUGGGGAAUAUUGGACAAUGGGCGAAAGCCUGAUCCAGCCAUGCCGCGUGUGUGAAGAAGGCCUUCGGGUUGUAAAGCACUUUCAGUGGGGAAGAAAGCCUUGGGGCUAAUACCCUCGAGGAAGGACAUCACCCACAGAAGAAGCACCGGCUAACUCCGUGCCAGCAGCCGCGGUAAUACGAAGGGUGCGAGCGUUAAUCGGAAUUACUGGGCGUAAAGCGCGCGUAGGCGGUCUGAUAAGCCGGUUGUGAAAGCCCCGGGCUCAACCUGGGAACGGCAUCCGGAACUGUCAGGCUAGAGUGCAGGAGAGGAAGGUAGAAUUCCCGGUGUAGCGGUGAAAUGCGUAGAGAUCGGGAGGAAUACCAGUGGCGAAGGCGGCCUUCUGGACUGACACUGACGCUGAGGUGCGAAAGCGUGGGUAGCAAACAGGAUUAGAUACCCCGGUAGUC
This 465-nucleotide ribosomal RNA is filed under the name Vreelandella stevensii. Its description in RNAcentral is "partial 16S ribosomal RNA". It matches the Rfam family "Bacterial small subunit ribosomal RNA", at positions 338 to 795 of the family's 1533-position model. Lineage: Bacteria; Pseudomonadati; Pseudomonadota; Gammaproteobacteria; Oceanospirillales; Halomonadaceae. The record is from RNAcentral.